GACGAACGCUGGCGGCGUGCUUAACACAUGCAAGUCGAACGGAAAGGCCCUGCUUUUGUGGGGUGCUCGAGUGGCGAACGGGUGAGUAACACGUGAGUAACCUGCCCUUGACUUUGGGAUAACUUCAGGAAACUGGGGCUAAUACCGGAUAGGAGCUCCUGCUGCAUGGUGGGGGUUGGAAAGUUUCGGCGGUUGGGGAUGGACUCGCGGCUUAUCAGCUUGUUGGUGGGGUAGUGGCUUACCAAGGCUUUGACGGGUAGCCGGCCUGAGAGGGUGACCGGCCACAUUGGGACUGAGAUACGGCCCAGACUCCUUCGGGAGGCAGCAGUGGGGAAUAUUGCACAAUGGGCGGAAGCCUGAUGCAGCACCGCCGCGUGCGGGAUGACGGCCUUCGGGUUGUAAACCGCUUUCGCCUGUGACGAAGCGUGAGUGACGGUAAUGGGUAAAGAAGCACCGGCUAACUACGUG
This 468-nucleotide ribosomal RNA is filed under the name uncultured bacterium. RNAcentral's name for it is "partial 16S ribosomal RNA". It matches the Rfam family "Bacterial small subunit ribosomal RNA", at positions 28 to 507 of the family's 1533-position model. The record is from RNAcentral.